GUUUCUGCAGGAGCCCAAGAAGAGGCCGAAACCGAGACCAUGCCUGGGAAGCUGAAGGUGAAAAUCGUGGCCGGGCGCCAUUUGCCAGUGAUGGACCGUGCUAGUGACCUGACUGAUGCCUUCGUGGAGGUAAAAUUUGGUAAUACCACCUUUAAAACAGAUGUGUACCUUAAGUCACUCAACCCUCAGUGGAACUCGGAGUGGUUUAAAUUUGAGGUAAGUUUUUAAAUGUCAGCAUUUUUGAGUGUAUUUUUUUGAGGUGACUCUUUUCCCUCAGGAAUAAUGAGAACCUUUUAUUUCAGGCAUAGUACUAUUUCUACAUCAUAAAAAUAUUUUCUUUUCUGCUUACCUAGGAAUAUUGAGUCUAAAAAAAGUUGUAUUACAUUUAAGAAAAUAUAGUAUAUGAUAACACAUGAACAAAAGAAGUCCUCAGAUGUAUUAUAUUAUUAUUAUUGUAGUUUUCUCUAGAUUUUAGCACAUACCAAAAAUUACUUAAGAAUAGUAUAUGGAUUAAAAUAAAUUUUUAAAAAUUGUAGUACUAUAUAUUGUGAAUAUUGCCAUUUAAAUCAUUUGUAAGUGUACAGCUUGGUAGCAUUAAUUACAUUCACAGUGUUUUGCCACCAUCACCGCUAUUUCCAGAACUUUUUCUUUAUCCUAAAUGGAAAUUGUAUACUCACUAACCAAUAACUUCCCAUUCCCUCCUCUCCCUAGACUCUGGUGACCUCUAAUCUACUUUCUGUCUCUGAAUUUGCUUAUGCUAGAUAU
Molecule: small RNA, 765 nt
Filed under: Pan troglodytes (chimpanzee)
Lineage: Eukaryota; Metazoa; Chordata; Mammalia; Primates; Hominidae
Description: retained intron
Source: RNAcentral